Molecule: long non-coding RNA, 387 nt
Filed under: Mytilus galloprovincialis (Mediterranean mussel)
Lineage: Eukaryota; Metazoa; Mollusca; Bivalvia; Mytilida; Mytilidae
Source: RNAcentral
GAAAUAUCAAACUUUAUUAAUUCGUCUAAUUCCAGCAUAGAACUGUCCAAUUUAGAAAAGAUAGACAACGUGAAAAAAAAAAUAAAAAAAUUAUUUUGCAGAAAUUAUUCUCUGUGGAUUAUAUGCAUUCAGACCGCAACUUGCGAAUAAUAUUCAAAGAUUUUAUGAACUCAUAUUCCCAAAUCAGCCGCUCCGACAUCAUCCCAUCAACAUUAUCCAAAGACAAAGAAGAAGAAGAAGACAACAUCAACCAAGAGUUCGAAAUCUACCACUUAGAGCUAGAAACCAGCCAGACCGCCUUAUGUAUUAUUAAAAUUAUUAUUUCACUAUACCUUUAUUAUACAUGUUCCUGAUCACCUCCCUCCUCCUCAAUCUUCACUUUCAAGC